RNAcentral lists this ribosomal RNA (506 nucleotides) under uncultured bacterium. RNAcentral describes it as "partial 16S ribosomal RNA". It matches the Rfam family "Bacterial small subunit ribosomal RNA", at positions 29 to 523 of the family's 1533-position model. The record is from RNAcentral.
AGUGAACGCUGGCGGUAGGCCUAACACAUGCAAGUCGAACGGCAGCACAGGAGAGCUUGCUCUCUGGGUGGCGAGUGGCGGACGGGUGAGGAAUACAUCGGAAUCUACUCUGUCGUGGGGGAUAACGUAGGGAAACUUACGCUAAUACCGCAUACGACCUACGGGUGAAAGCAGGGGACCUUCGGGCCUUGCGCGAUUGAAUGAGCCGAUGUCGGAUUAGCUAGUUGGCGGGGUAAAGGCCCACCAAGGCGACGAUCCGUAGCUGGUCUGAGAGAAUGAUCAGCCACACUGGAACUGCGACACGGUCCAGACUCGUAGGGGAGGCAGCAGUGGGGAAUAUUGGACAAUGGGGGCAAGCCUGAUCCAGCCAUACCGCGUGGGUGAAGAAGGCCUUCGGGUUGUAAAGCCCUUUUGUUGGGAAAGAAAUCCAGCUGGCUAAUACCCGGUUGGGAUGACGGUACCCAAAGAAUAAGCACCGGCUAACUUCGUGCCAGCCGCCGCGGUAA